RNAcentral lists this ribosomal RNA (257 nucleotides) under uncultured bacterium. RNAcentral describes it as "partial 16S ribosomal RNA". It matches the Rfam family "Bacterial small subunit ribosomal RNA", at positions 524 to 776 of the family's 1533-position model. The record is from RNAcentral.
UACAGAGGUCUCAAGCGUUGUUCGGAUUCAUUGGGCGUAAAGGGUGCGUAGGCGGCGCGGUAAGUCGGGUGUGAAAUCUCGGAGCUUAACUCCGAAACUGCAUUCGAUACUGCCGUGCUUGAGGACUGGAGAGGAGACUGGAAUUUACGGUGUAGCGGUGAAAUGCGUAGAUAUCGUAAGGAAGAACCAGUGGCGAAAGGCGGGGUCCUCUGGACAGUUCCUGACGCUGAGGCACGAAGGCCAGGGGAGCAAACGGG